AGGAUGAACGCUGGCGGCGUGCUUAACACAUGCAAGUCGAACGAUGAAGCAGAGCUUGCUCUGUGGAUUAGUGGCGAACGGGUGAGUAACACGUGAGUAACCUGCCCUUGACUCUGGAAUAAGCGUUGGAAACGACGUCUAAUACCGGAUACGAGCUUCCGCCGCAUGGUGAGGAGCUAGGAAAGAAUUU
Molecule: ribosomal RNA, 190 nt
Filed under: uncultured soil bacterium
Lineage: Bacteria
Description: partial 16S ribosomal RNA
Rfam family: Bacterial small subunit ribosomal RNA
Source: RNAcentral